This 409-nucleotide ribosomal RNA is filed under the name Verrucomicrobiota bacterium. RNAcentral's name for it is "Verrucomicrobia bacterium partial 16S ribosomal RNA". It matches the Rfam family "Bacterial small subunit ribosomal RNA", at positions 355 to 776 of the family's 1533-position model. Lineage: Bacteria; Pseudomonadati; Verrucomicrobiota. The record is from RNAcentral.
UGGGGAAUAUUGCACAAUGGGCGGAAGCCUGAUGCAGCGACGCCGCGUGAGGGAUGACGGCCUUCGGGUUGUAAACCUCUUUCAGUAGGGACGAAGCGUAAGUGACGGUACCUGCAGAAGAAGCACCGGCUAACUACGUGCCAGCAGCCGCGGUAAUACGUAGGGUGCGAGCGUUGUCCGGAAUUACUGGGCGUAAAGAGCUCGUAGGCGGUUUGUCACGUCGUCUGUGAAAUCCUAGGGCUUAACCCUGGACGUGCAGGCGAUACGGGCUGACUUGAGUACUACAGGAGAGACUGGAAUUUCUGGUGUAGCGGUGGAAUGCACAGAUAUCAGGAAGAACACCGAUGGCGAAGGCAGGUCUCUGGGUAGUAACUGACGCUGAGGAGCGAAAGCAUGGGUAGCGAACAGG